This is a long non-coding RNA of Gorilla gorilla gorilla (western lowland gorilla), 12309 nucleotides long. RefSeq lists it as uncharacterized. The record is from RefSeq and is a predicted model, not a curated record. The transcript has 5 exons. Lineage: Eukaryota; Metazoa; Chordata; Mammalia; Primates; Hominidae.
GCCGAGAGAAUUUUGAGCGUUAGCCGUCUCUCGGUCGCCAGCUAAUAAAGGACUCUUAAUUCGUCUCAAACUGUAGUGUUUUUCUAACUCGCUCGGGUACAACAGUUGGAGGCCCCAGCGAGAUUUUAACGCCAGCGGGCAAGAGCCGGUCUCACUCCGGGCUCCCCCGGAAGGACGGCUGGCCUGUAGGGAAGCCGCCACCUGCAAAGACAAAAUUUUCAGGUUCCCGAAGGGUGACCGUCUUCCGGAGGACAGCGGAUCGACUACCGUGUGGGUGCCCUAAAAUUCAACAUCUGAGUCCUCAGCUUCUGACCCCGGGGUCAGGGAUGUGCAUGAAAUUUGGUGCUGUGACUCAGAUUGGGGGACCUCCCUUGGGAGAUCCAUUCCCUGUCCUCCUGUUCUUUGCUCCGUGAGCAAGAUCCACCUACGACCUCAGGUCCUCAGACUAACCAGCUCAAGAAACAUCUCACCAAUUUUAAAUCCGGUAAGCAGCCUCUUUUUACUCUCUUCUUCAACCUCCCUUACUAUCCUUCAACCUCUUUCUCCUUUCAAUCUUGGUGCCACACUUCAAUCUCUCCCUUCUCUUAAUUUCAAUUCCUUUCAUUUUCUGGUGGAGACAAAGGAGACACGUUUUAUCCGUGGACCCAAAACUCCGGCGCCGGUCACGGACUAGGGAAGGCGGCCUUCCCUUGGUGUUUAAUCAUUGCAGGGACACCUCUCUGAUUAUUCGCCCAGGUUUCAGAGGUGUUAGACCACGCAGGGACUCCUGCCUUGGUCCUUCACCCUUAGCAGCAAGUCCCACUUUUCUAGGGGAGAGGCAAGUACCCCAACCCCUUCUCUCCAUGUCUCUACCCCUUCUCCGCAUGUCUCUACCCCUUCUCCGCAUUUCUGGGGGGCGAGAAACCCCCAACCCCUUCUCCUUCACCCUUAGCGGCAAGUCCCGCUUUUCUGGUGAAGAGGCAAGUACCCCAACCUCGUAUCUCUGCACCCCGAUCCCUUAUUUCCAUGCCCCGACCUCCUAUCUCUGUGCCCCAACCCCUUCUCUGCUUUUCUGGAGGGCAAGAACCCCCCACCACUUCUCCCUGUCUCUACUCUUCUCUGGGCUUGCCUCCGUCACUAUGGGCAAGCUUCCACCUUCCAUUCCUCCUUCUUCUCCCUUAGCCUGUGUUCUUAAGAACUUAAAACCUCUUCAACUCUCACCUGACCUAAAAUCUAAGCAUCUUAUUUUCUUCUGCAAUGCUGCUUGACCCCAAUACAAACUUCACAGUAGUUCCAAAUAGCCAGAAAACAGCACUUUCAAUUUUUCCAUCCUGCAAGAUCUAAAUAAUUCUUGUCGUAAAAUAGGCAAACGGUCUGAGGUGCCUGACAUCCAGGCAUUCUUUUACACAUCGGUCCCUUCCUAGUCUCUGUUCCCAGUGCAACUUGUCCCAAAUCUUCCUUCUUUCCCUCCCGCCUGUCCCCUCAGUACCAACCCCAAGCGUCACUGAGUCUUUCUAAUCUUCCUUUUCUACAGACCCAUCUGACCUCUCCCUUCCUCGCCAGGCCGAACUAGGUCCCAAUUCUUCCUCAGCCUCCGCUCCUCCACCCUAUAAUCCUUUUAUCACCUCCCCUCCUCACACCUGGUCCGGCUUACAGUUUCGUUCCGUGAGUAGCCCUCCCCCACCUGCCCAGCAAUUAACUCUUAAAGAGGUGGUUGGAGCUAAAGGCAUAGUCAAGGUUAAUGCUCCUUUUUCUUUAUCCCAAAUCAGAUAGCAUUUAGGCUCUUUUUCAUCAAAUAUAAAAAUCCAGCCCAGUUCAUGACUCGUUUGGCAGCAACCCUGAGACAUUUUACAGCCCUAGACCCUGAAAUGUCAAAAGGCUGUCUUAUUCUCAAAAUACAUUUUAUUACCCCAUCUGCUCCCUACAUUAAAUAAAACCCCCAAAAUUAAAUUCCGGCCCUCAAACCCCACAACAGGAUUUAAUUAACCUCACCUUCAAGGUGUACAAUAAUAGAAAAAAGUUGCAAUUGCUUGCUUCCACUGUGAGACAAACCCCAGCCACAUCUCCAGCACACAAGAACUUCCAAACGCCUGAACUGCAGCGGCCAGGCAUUCCUCCAGAACCUCCUCCCCCAGGAGCUUGCUACAAGUGCCAGAAAUCUGACCACCAGGCCAAGGAAUGCCUGCAGCCCAGGAUUCCUCCUAAGCCGCAUCCCAUCUCUGCGGGACCCCAAUGGAAAUCGGACUGUCCAACUCACCUGGCAGCCACUCCCAGAGCCUCUGGAACUCUGGCCCAAGGCUCUCUGACUCCUUCCCAGAUCUUCUUGGCUUAGCAACUGAAGACUGAUGCUGCCGAUCACCUCGGAAGCCCCCUAGACCAUCACGGACGCCGAGCUUCGGGUAACUCUCACAGUGGAGGAAUAUUUUCAAUCCAUAGAUGUGGAACUCACAGAUGUGGAGGAUGGACUAUAGAUACAAACUGGUUAGUGCCUCACAUGCUGAACAGAACGAAUGCAAGAUAACAUAACUUCAUAGUAUGUGAGCUCUUCUCAGAUAGUUUAUUAAAAAGACAUACAUGACGCUUUCCUUAAUAUAUUUAACAACCCCAAGGCUAGUCUGUCAAAUAAAAAAAAAAUGAAAAGGACUCACAGUCAUUUGUUUUAUUUCUGAAGUUAAACAAAAAAUAAAAUUCUAAGGUCCACCAACCAUCUGAAUGAACUCCUCUCAGCUACGGGCAUUCCUGAGUUAACCUGAAAAUCCAGUUCAGGUUAUGAUGACAAAGGGUGUUGGACAUGCCUCACUAUACCCUCCAGCAUUAACAUUAACACAGACCUUAAGUCUGAUAAGAAACGUUUGCAAUCUAUUUUCUGUGAAGCCUGCUACCUGGAGGCUUCAUCUGCAUAAUAAAACCUUGGUCUCUACAACCCCUUAUUUUCACCCAGAUAUUCCUUUCUACUGACAAUAACUCUUUCAAACAAAUGUCAAUCAGGAAACAUUUAAAUCUAUCUAUGACCUGGAAGCUCCCCGCUAUUGAGUUGUCCUGCCCUUCCAGAUGGAACCAAUGUAAGUAAAUCUUCCAGGUAUUGAUUGAUAUCUCAUGUCUCCCUAAAAUGUAUAAAAGCAGGCUGUACCCUGGCCACCUUGGGCACAUAUUGUUGGGACCUCCUGAGGGUGUCACUGGAGUGUCCUUAACUUUGUCAAAAUAAACUUUCUAAAUUGAUUGAGACCUGCCUCAGGUAUUUGGGGUUGACAAACUGAUAACCACGAAGGGAUUCUGAGUGGAGUUUCCCCUGACUUUUGACAAAUCUCAUAUCGGUGCUUGGUACCAGCUUGAGAAUUCCUUAUGGUUCAAACCAAUAGGAUAAUUUGCCAAGACCCAGGAGCUCCCCUCCCUCCAUAGGAUCCCCAAUCUCAUUCCCAGCAAUCAUCAGAGAUUAUUGUUGGAGAGGAGUUCAUCCAGGGACGGUUGAACUCGAGCGGAAUACUGCCUUCUCACUCCAUCCCCUUUCCAGUUCCCCAUGCUGCUGAGAGCCACCUCCACUGCACAAUAAAAUCCUUCACAUUCACCAACCUCCAAUUUGUUCAUGCCACUUCAUUCCUCCUGGAUGAUGGACAAGAACCUGGGUGCAGGUACAGGAGGCUGUCACACUGGCCCUCCACUGAGCUGUUUUAACACUUAAGCCAUCCAUGAAUGGCAAAGCUAAAGAACAGCACUGUAACACAUGCCUUCUGGGGCUCUGGGGGUCCUGGGCAACCCUUAGACACUGCUGCCAGGCUACGGAAUUCUACUCCUGCCAGUGCCUAGAAACACCCAUCCCGGUCUCUGCCCCCUCUCACCUGCUCACUCCCACUCCCACAAGGGGUUUGAGAGCUGUGGGCUGAGUAAGUGAGCCACCUCUUCACGAGUCCUCUGAAGAGGUCAAGGGAACUAUCCCAUCUCAAUGUGGAAGUGAUAUUUCACCACCAAACUACAUGAAAGAGCUCUAAUCAACUGAUUCAAAAAAAAAAGUAAGCGCUUAUCAGGCUGGUAGAUAUUAACCUUUUAAUUCACAUGACCUUGGUAAUCUUUAGUAAGAUUAAUUUGGUAAGUUUAAUUUCAAAAUUAUCUCCAGUAGUUUAAAAUCUUAAAGUCCUGUUGUGUUAAAGUAACCUUGGUUUUUUUCACUGGGAGUUUGAGUUACUAAGAGCUAAAAUAAUAAGAGUGUAAAAGGUAUUUUUGGUGAAGCUUAUAAAAUACAAGGAUGUUUUUUUUGCUGAAGAAAAUGUAAUAUUUUUUCUAGUUAAGAAACUAUUUAAGUCACUUUAAAAUAAAGGAAAACAUACAGGUAAAACUAAAUGCAUAAAAAUUAUUAAGCCAGGGCAACAAAUGUUACCUCUGAGACCUGUGGUUUUCAAGAAGAUAGUCAAUGUGGGGGAAGGGCAAGACCAAGUAACUAUUAAACUAGAGGGUAUAAUGUAAAGGAAUUGGUCCAUUUUGUAGAUUGCUAUCAUCAGCUUCUUGAGAAAUCUUUACUAUAAUGAAUUGUAAAAAUCACUAAUUUAAGGACAUAAUUCUUAAUUUUAAAUGCUGCAGAAGGAAAGAGCUUGUUUGUUGAUGCAGGAACUACAGCUCACUAUUAAACAAUCACUACUGAAUAAUGUGAUCCCAAGGCACACGAGGUUAUUCCUGCAACUAACCUAUUGGACCAGAUAAAUGCCUCUGUACAGUCUGUUUGCUCUGAGAUGGUGACUGACCGAAUUUCCCUAUAAAAUAUCAAGUGGAGCACACCAGAUGAAGCAGUUGGUAUGCUUCAUAUGCAAGUCGUAUGAGACUGACCUUAUGAUAACCAGCAUAUUCUCCCACCAAAUAUGCCCAUUACACAGGUCAUAGAAAAUUUAGGGGUUAAGGGGACUCCUAUUGAAACCACCAUUGCAAAAUUAUAACUGAGCUGACCUAGCUAACUACAUCUUUUUUCUGAUUUCCAAACUGUCCUUGUUCACUUCUGGGUGCAGGCUGACCUAACUUUAGAAAGAACUUAGUUUAUAGUUUAAUCAACAUGAUAACAGCCUUUUCCCAAAACAAACCUCCUUCUUGUCUGGGGACUACACUGCCUUUGUAGGACUAACAAAUUAGGCACAAGAUUAGAAAUUAUGGUUUAGGAAUCAUGCAGCUGGAGGCUACAAGAUUCUGACCCUCCCUGAACUGCUCCUAAGAUCAGUGCUUAAGAUAUUUUACAGACCCUGCACUUGAUGGAUCAGCUGGCACCAUCCAGAUGGAUUAACUGCCUCAUCUGAUCUUGUGACCCCCCUAGCCAGGAACUGACUCAGCACAAGAGGACAGCUUCAGUUUCCUAUGAUUUUAUCUCCUACCUAGCCAAUCAGCAUUCGUGGCUCACUGGCUUCCCCCCACCCACCAAGUUGUCCUUAAAAACUCCAAUCCCUGAAUGCUCAGGGAGACAGUUUUGAGUAAUAAUGAAACUCUGGUCUCCCACACAGCCAGUUCUGCAUGAAUUACUCUUUCUCUAUUGCAAUUCCCCUGUCCUGAUAAAUUGUCUCUGUCUAGGUGGCGGGCAAGGUGAACCCAGUGGGUGGUUAUACUUUUCCAUGGAUACCCCAGGUAACAUCACUACCACAAAAUCACACAACUGUUUGAGAAGCCUUAUCAAAUUUCCUGUCCCUCAUGGGUCUUACAGAUGCUAAAUAAAACAUUGGGGUAAUUAACAACAACUACAACAACAAAAAUAAAAAGGGAAAGGAAAAAGGGAGUCAAAGGACUCUCGCCAGAAGAGUGAUAGAAAUUUUUGGAUGGGUUUCCACUAUUUACCCCCAUUGGAGAACUAAAACAAACAAAAAAAUAAAAAAAUAAAAAGCCAAAGUUUAUAAUGAGAAAGAUGGCAUGGCCUGGGCAAUGUUGAGGCAAAUAAGAUAAACAUUAACCAAAGGGCCUGAGUGCCUUGGUCCAAACUUUUGAUAUAAGAUUAAAUCCUUUUGAUGCAGUAUCUUGCUACCUGGGGAAUGCAAGGAGGAGAAUACUCAUAAGCAGGUAGCCUUUCCCCCCUACCAUCGCUGAUUCUAACUAUAUCCUCAUAUAGAUUCUAGAGCUGUUAUGUUGGACAGUGCCUAAUAGACAGCUCUCAUCUAACAAGAGUUGUUUGGCUUGUGGAUAGUAUUUCCAAGGUGAACAAGUGACAUCCUGUUUGAAACCCAUGUUCUGGUUAAAGAAGAGACAAGCAAAUCUUUUUCUUUUGUUAUUUGUAGUUUACAGCUAUUGGUUGAAGUACAUUUUUGUGAACAAGUUUACUUUUCUGUCUGAGUUCUCCAAAAUAUGGAAACUGCUCAUAAUCAUUCUGAUUUUAUGACAAUAUAGUUAUUUGCAUAGGUUUAGUAAGAGUCUUUACUUUUAAAACAGGACAACUAGAGACACUGGUUAUUUUACCAAGGCUUUGACUAGAAUAAUAUAUUUUUAGGUAAAGUUCCAGCAAAGCCAACUUAAAAUGAGCCUAUAUAGCCAAUCAAUUCUUCCUGCAUUUUGUGCAAAUAAUCAGGCCAAGCAUAAUAAGCCUAAAACUUACUUUGCACACAUAUUGGUCUUACUGUAUCUUCUCUCUAAUAGAGAAGGAGGGCUAGAGAGAGAAAUUGUUUCAAAGGAAAGUGUAACACUUGUUAUUUCAACUCCGACUUUUGUUUCUGAGUGCAGAUUGAAUCAUUAAUUAUUUCUUGGCUACAGUAAUCCUCUAGAGAGUGCCAGAUUAUAAUUUUUCUUCAUAUUUUUAGUUGGCACCCUAAUGGAGUAGGUUCUUCUUUUCUGUUCUGACACACAAAUACUCUGCAGAAAUACAAAUGUUAUAUCUCCUUGUUUUACUUGCAAGGAAGCUAAAAUCAUGGUAAUCUGAAGAGCAGAGAUACAAAUCUCCCUCCUUUAGCAUUCCACUGGGCCUAAUCUGUUUUUCACUUCAAAUGGCCUGCUUUUAAGACUAUACAAGCACCCUCCCUCUAGGCCCAAGGACUGUCAUAGAAAAGGUGGGCAUGUGAGGCUGUAAGGGCCUGGAUUUGAGGGAUAGAAUUAGGUCAAAGUUGGACCCUCCAAAUCAAGGGUGGGUACAAAGAUGCCUAAACAAUUGAUAAAACAAGGUACGUUGCCUUCUGAGCUAUUACACGACACCUUUUCAUCCACCCCAACUGUCAGAGGCGUUGGAAGCAGAGCGACUCCAUCUUGAGUGAGGGCUAGGAAAAUGAGGCUGGGACUGGCCAGGCUGCAUUCUCAGAAAGUUAGGCAUUCCUAGACUCUAGAUGUUUACAGUUAAGGGAAUAGAUUGAUAAUAUUUACUAAACAUCUAGACUUGGGAGUGUCCAGAUAUCCUGCUAUCUUGAGAACAAAGGCAUUCCUAAUUUUGUGGUAAAGAUAAUAACAUUGAUUCUUGCAAAAAUAUAGUAAUUAAGAAAAUUAAUCCUUUAUCACAAACCCUUGAAGCACAGCACAUCUCCAUCUCCCCAUGAUCCUUUUUUAUCCUUUUUAUACAAGCAUUGUACCUGGGCUGGACGCAUUUCUCCUCUUACUCUUGGGAAUGCCCUACUCUGUCUAUGGAGUAGCUGUACUUUCACCACUUGACUUUCUUAAUAAACUUACUUUUGCUUUGCACUGCAGACUCACCCUGAAUUCUUUCUUGCUUGAGAUCCAAGAACCCUCUCUUGGGGUCUGGAUCAGGAUCCCUUUCCUGUAAUAUCUUUCUGGCAACCACUGAAGGGACUACAGUGAGGAAAUCCUUGACCUAAAGGCUAACUUUAGGCUGAGGAACAGAAGAGACUGAUCACGUUUAUUCCUGUGAGCCAACCAGUAACCUCCAACUCCUGUUCAGAAGAAGCAAAAAGGAUGGGUAACGUAAAGACAUGGAUUGGCAUUCUACUUUUGGGUAUAAGUUGGAAUCAUGCCGAGAGUAACUUGUGUACAAUAUCGGCUUGGUUCCGACAACUACCUAGUUCUUGGAAAGACUUCCCGUUUAGUUUACUUGGAGUGAUUAUACUUAUUUUGCUUUUCUGUUGUGGAAUAUAUUGUGGUUGUACUUUUUGUGUAGAAAUGCGAGACAAACUCACUCAACGCUUUCUUAAAUUGGACACAUUAAUCUUCCAGGUAUCACCUCUUGUCAGAACUCACAGCUCUGAACGAACUUCACCAUGCCAAUGCUUUCUGAAUGAGCUUCUCUCUACCCUGAAUGCAAGAGACCCUAAUAGUUAGGCAGGAAUAUCAUUGCCCCUAUUCAGCCCGAAGGAGAUACAGAAGAUGGAUCUUCAUUCCUCUGCAACCCUUAGGAUUAAGGGUCCUCUCUUAAAGGGAGCCGGGCGAUAUGUCAGAGUCUAUGGAACCAGAGUGACUUCAUCUUGAGUGAAGCCUAGGAAAAUGAGGCUAGGACCGGCUGUGCUGCAUUCCCAGAAAGUUAGGCAUUCCUAGCCUCUAGAUGUUUAUGAUUAAGGAAACAGGUUGAUAAUGUUUACUAAGCAGACUCAGACUUGGGAGUGUCCUAAUAUCCCCAUAUCUUGAGAACAAAGGUACUCCUAAUUUUGCUUUAAAGAUAAUAAUAUUGAUUCUUGCAAAAACAUUGUAAUUAAGAAAAUUAAUCACAAACUCUUGUAGCAGAGCACAUCUCCCUCCUCAUGAUCUUUUUUUAUCCUAUAUACACAAACAUUGUACCUAGAGUGGACACGUUUCUCCCCUUACUUUUGGGAAUGGCCUACUCUGUCUAUGAAGUAGCUGUGCUUUCACCACUUUACUUUCUUAAUAAACUUGCUUUUGCUUUGCACCGUGGACUCACCCUGAAUUCUUUCUUGUGUGAGAUCCAAGAACCCUCUAUUGGGGUCUGGAUUGGGACCCCUUUCCUGUAACACAACCAUAAAGAAUAUCCUACUUCCUAUAGAAUUAAAAGUAAGUAAUUACUGAGAGUAUAAAGAUACCUCAUAACAGAACCUCUUGGCUAUAAUACUCUCAGUUAAGAGUUUUUCAGAUAUAUAUGUAUUUUUUUAAUUUUCAGAAGAAUGCUUAUGUUUUGUAUAGCUAACUACUACAAGUCUGUAACUAAUACCAAGAUUAUAGUAGCUCAACACAUAGAAGUUAAAGAGAAGUCAGUUUUGUAUCCUGUCUGUGGAUUUUGUUUGUUGGCUUUUAACUUAAAAAAAAUUACUUAAAAAAAAUUAAGGGGGUAAUGAAUGCCUGUCUAUGUCCAUUCUUAUCUGGCUAGCCUCUAAGUCCCUUGGCCACAGGGAGUCCCAUCAAAGGACAGGAUGGACCUGGGGCAGGCAGCCAUGCCACUCUGGCAACACUACGGGACAAAAUAAAAAUGUGGUGGCCAUUGAUGUUGCCUUUGGCAAAUCUUGGCCAGAAGGGGGAGAAUGUAAACCAAAAAUGAAAUUCUAAGGUCCCUGCAACCAUCUGAAUGGACCCUUUCUCUCAACUAAGGGCAUUCUGGAGUUAACCAGAAAAUCUAGUUCAGGCCAUGAUGGAAGAAAGGGUUGGACAUGUGUCACUAUACUCGCCCCCGCAGCAUUAACAUCAACACAGACCUUAAGUCUGAUAAGAAACCUUUACAAUCUAUUUUCUCUGAAGGCUGCUACCUGGAGGCUUCAUCUGCAUGAUAAAACCUUUGUCUCCCCAACCCCAUAUCUUAACCUAGACAUUCCUUUCUACUGAUAAUAACUCUUUCAACCAAUUGCCAAUCAAAACAUUUUCAAAUCUAUCUAUGACCUGGAAGCUCUCCUUCACUCCCUCACCCCCACCUUGGCUGGAGUUGUCCCGCCUUUCCAGGUGGAACCAAAUAUAAGUCUUGCAUGUAUUAACUGAUGUAUUAUGUUUCCCUAAAAUAUAUAAAAGCAAGCUGUACACCAACCACCUUGGGCAUAUGUCAUCAGGACCUCCUGAGGCUGUGUCAUGGUUAUGUCCUUAACCUUGGCAAAAUAAACAUGUUAAAUUGAUUGAGACAUGUUUCAGAUAUUUUGGAUUCACAUGAGUUUGACAUAAUUUAAAAAUGCACAUAUUAUAAAAGCAAUAUCCUGCUGCAUCUAAUGACACUUAACAUCCCAGUUUUACAUAAACUUGUGAAUGGAAAGUAUUUGAAGAAACUAAUAUCUAGUAGAAAUUCUUACAGUUCCUAAUAUUUGAUGCAAAGUGUGUGUGUAUUGCUUUAAUUGAAUAAGAGAAAAGAGUAAAGCAAAAUUAUAGUAACCGCAAUAGCUACCACUUAUUAAUCUCAUUAUGCAAGUCUGCCAAUAUGUUAAAUGUUUUGAGUAUAUUUUUGUCACCUUCACUACAACCUUAAAGUUUAGAAAUUAUUUACAUACAGCAGAUGGUGAACUCCGAUUCAGAAAGAUUAAAAUCCUUUGCUCAAGAAAGCAAAAAGGGCAGAUUUGAAUUAACCUCCAUCUGCCACUAGUGUUCAUUUUCUCACUGCUUUCUUAUUUUUUAAGUCUUGGGCUUUUCUCUUUCAUCACAAACCUUUGGAAGUGUGGGGGCUGAAAUGGUCUAAUACAUACUUAUCUCUUGAAAUAUAGUUCUUAAGGAGCCAAGAAAUAAUGCCAUGUAAUUAGUAAUGCCAUUAGUAUUUAUUAUGUGCUGUAUUCCAGUUUCUGUGCUAAUUAUAUAACCUGGAUUAACGUAUUCAGUGUUCACAAUGGUGCUAUAUGAUAAAUAAUGUUGAAUCAUAGUUGCAAGCACCUGAAAGUAGAUUUUGGUUGACAAGCAAAAAACAAAUGUGUUAACAUCAUGGUAGACAGCUAACAAGUUUCCCCAGGUAGAGAGAAUCCGGUCUUGGAGGAUGCACACACAGGAAUGAAGCUUGUGUAUGCCCCCAUCUUAUGGUAACACUGGAGGACCGGUUCAGUGAGAACAUGGCCAGCACUACUGCCGCUCAUUAGCUUCUGUGACUUCCACCACUGAUACUUCGGGGAUUGUUGCAAUGCUGCCCAAAUAAUGGAAUUUUGUUGUACGUAAUCGGUUCCACUCCCAGAGAUAGUUACAUGAGGUCCUCAGUACAGAGCAGGUGCCCCUCACUAGCAUCAAAGCCUUUUAACCUUUCAUUGAGGGAGGGGACUCCAUCCUCCACCAAGAUUCAUAUGAUGGGGAAUUUUUUCAAGCUUAAAAGAGGAUUUGGAUGCUGAGCAGACUUAAAGAAUAACCAGUAACCACUUUGCAAGUAAGAAAACUGAAGUGGAGAAAGAUUGCGUAGUUUUCUCAAAUAUAUAUAUAUAUUUUUGAGACAGAGUCUUACUCUGUCACCCAGGAGGGAGUGCUGUGGCAUGAUCUUGCCUCACUGCAACCUCUGCCUCCCAAGUUCAAGCGAUUCUCCUGCCUCAGCAUCCCAAGUAGCUGGGAUUACAGGUGUGUGCCACUAUGCCCGACUAAGUUUUGUAUUCUUAGUAAAGAUGGAGUUUCACCAUGUUGGCCAGGAUGGUCUCGAACCCCUGACCUCACGAUCUGCCCACCUCGGCCUCUCAAAGUGCUGGAAUUAUAGGUGUUAACCAUGGCGCCUGGCCUCAAAUACACAUAAUUAGUAAUCAGCAAAGAUGUGACUGGAUUUUAAAGUCUGUAUGACUCUAAAAUGUCUGCUUCUAACUACUUUCUGCUCUGGUAGUUUCCUACUAUCAAUUAUUUGUUUUGCUCGGCCGUUCCCUCAGUGUAAGAGAGGGCACACAUGGACACUUUCUGUUAUUUUUUUUCUGCCUGGCUGCUGAGGGGUUGCUGCUAUGACAUCUCUUUUACACUGAAAGGCAAAGGGGAUAUUCGAGUUUGCACGCAUGCAGACACAGUCACUUCUUCUAAUGGCAGCUGUUAGUACUGUUUAGAGAUUCUCCACACAGGAUAUUCAUACACAUCUCAACCUCAACCAAAUGAUAUUUUCUUUCUAAAGGUGAAUUUUCCUUUCAUGUUGUACAUCACCUCCUGUAAAUCCGCAUACAGAUCUGAUGCCCUUAAGUCUUAAAGUUUGUGGACAUUCUGAAUAAUACUUGACUUGUUGAAAUUAAAUUGUGCUGGAAGACAAAUCUAAAAGAAGCUAAAAUGUGAGAGAAAACAUUUGUAGACUGCAAACAUUUUGAAACAGAGGUAGGAAGCUUUUAGGCAUGCCAGUUGCUAGGAAACCAUAUCUUGGUUAUAUAGUUUCAAAAUUACUGAAGAGCUCAUGCUUGCUUAGGUCAAUAGAGAACCAAUAGGAGCAGAAGAAAAUCCGAUGCAAUAAAAUGUUUAAUGUUUUAAAAAGAUGACUGCCAAAAUAAUUAAUUGAAGAGAAUACUGAACCAAUAAUAAGGUUCAAAUUACAGAUUGUUCUUUAUUUGGAGCCAUGAGUUCAAACUGCUAUAAGAUUUAUGAAGC